This 63-nucleotide transfer RNA is filed under the name Scelimena melli. Its description in RNAcentral is "tRNA-Cys". Lineage: Eukaryota; Metazoa; Arthropoda; Insecta; Orthoptera; Tetrigidae. The record is from RNAcentral.
GGCCUUAUAUUCAAAUGUGAUUUUAGAUUGCAAUUCUAAAGGUGCGAGUAUUCGUUAAGGCCU